Molecule: ribosomal RNA, 254 nt
Filed under: uncultured bacterium
Lineage: Bacteria
Description: partial 16S ribosomal RNA
Rfam family: Bacterial small subunit ribosomal RNA
Source: RNAcentral
GCAAGUCGAACGAGAACGGGUAUUAGCUUGCUAUUUUGGCGUCGAGCGGCGGACGGGUGAGUAAUACUUGGGAAUCUACCUAGUCGAGGGGGACAACAGUUGGAAACGACUGCUAAUACCGCAUACGACCUACGGGUGAAAGGGGGCCUCUUCUUGAAAGCUCUCGCGAUUAGAUGAGCCCAAGUGGGAUUAGCUUGUUGGUGAGGUAAAGGCUCACCAAGGCGACGAUCCCUAGCUGGUCUGAGAGGAUGAUC